This 497-nucleotide ribosomal RNA is filed under the name uncultured bacterium. Its description in RNAcentral is "partial 16S ribosomal RNA". It matches the Rfam family "Bacterial small subunit ribosomal RNA", at positions 28 to 507 of the family's 1533-position model. The record is from RNAcentral.
GAUGAACGCUGGCGGCGUGCCUAAUACAUGCAAGUCGAGCGAACAGACGAGGAGCUUGCUCCUCUGACGUUAGCGGCGGACGGGUGAGUAACACGUGGAUAACCUACCUAUAAGACUGGGAUAACUUCGGGAAACCGGAGCUAAUACCGGAUAAUAUAUUGAACCGCAUGGUUCAAUAGUGAAAGACGGUUUUGCUGUCACUUAUAGAUGGAUCCGCGCCGCAUUAGCUAGUUGGUAAGGUAACGGCUUACCAAGGCAACGAUGCGCAGCCGACCUGAGAGGGUGAUCGGCCACACUGGAACUGAGACACGGUCCAGACUCCUACGGGAGGCAGCAGUAGGGAAUCUUCCGCAAUGGGCGAAAGCCUGACGGAGCAACGCCGUGUGAGUGAUGAAGGUCUUCGGAUCGUAAAACUCUGUUAUUAGGGAAGAACAAAUGUGUAAGUAACUAUGCACGUCUUGACGGUACCUAAUCAGAAAGCCACGGCUAACUACGUG